Molecule: unclassified non-coding RNA, 342 nt
Filed under: soil metagenome
Description: partial contains 5.8S ribosomal RNA, internal transcribed spacer 2, and large subunit ribosomal RNA
Rfam family: 5.8S ribosomal RNA (bases 1-120)
Source: RNAcentral
GAUGAAGAACGUAGUGAAAUGCGAUAAGUAAUGUGAAUUGCAGAAUUCAGUGAAUCAUCGAGUUUUUGAACGCAUAUUGCGCCCUCUGGUAUUCCGGGGGGCAUGCCUGUUCGAGCGUCAUUAAAUAACCCUCAAGCAUAGCUUGGUGUUGGGCUUUUUUACGUCCUUGACUGGGAUGGGCCUAAAAAUUAGUGGCGAUGGCUUUUUUACUUUCAAGCGUAGUAAAUCUCGUCUUGCUAAAGAGGAAAAAGAUUUUUUUUCUGCCAAAAAUUUUAACAUUUAAAGUUGACCUCGGAUCAGGUAGGAUUACCCGCUGAACUUAAGCAUACAAUAAGCGGAGGA